UACGAGUGCCCCAAGCGUUAUCCGGAAUCAUUGGGCGUAAAGGGUGUGUAGGUGGCGAUGUUAGUCUCCUGUCAAAGCCCCGGGCUUAACCCGGGACCUGCAGGGGAAACGGCAUCGCUCGAGGAUGCGAGGGGUGAAUGGAACUCAUGGAGUAGGGGUGAAAUCCGUUGAUAUCAUGGGGAACACCAAAAGCGAAGGCAAUUCACUGGCGCAUUCCUGACACUGAAACACGAAAGCGUGGGUAGCGAACGGG
This 253-nucleotide ribosomal RNA is filed under the name uncultured bacterium. Its description in RNAcentral is "partial 16S ribosomal RNA". It matches the Rfam family "Bacterial small subunit ribosomal RNA", at positions 524 to 776 of the family's 1533-position model. The record is from RNAcentral.